GACGUAGGAGGCGAGCGUUGUCCGGCUUCAUUGGGCGUAAAGAGCACGCAGGCGGUUUGGCAAGUCGGAUGUGAAAACCCGGAGCUCAACUCCGGACCUGCAUCCGAAACUGCCCGACUAGAGGUAGGUAGGGGAGAUCGGAAUUCCUGGUGUAGCGGUGAAAUGCGCAGAUAUCAGGAGGAACACCGGUGGCGAAGGCGGAUCUCUGGGCCUUACCUGACGCUCAGGUGCGAAAGCUAGGGGAGCGAACAGG
This 253-nucleotide ribosomal RNA is filed under the name uncultured bacterium. RNAcentral describes it as "partial 16S ribosomal RNA". It matches the Rfam family "Bacterial small subunit ribosomal RNA", at positions 524 to 776 of the family's 1533-position model. The record is from RNAcentral.